This 468-nucleotide ribosomal RNA is filed under the name uncultured bacterium. Its description in RNAcentral is "partial 16S ribosomal RNA". It matches the Rfam family "Bacterial small subunit ribosomal RNA", at positions 28 to 507 of the family's 1533-position model. The record is from RNAcentral.
GACGAACGCUGGCGGCGUGCUUAACACAUGCAAGUCGAACGGAAAGGCCCUGCUUUUGUGGGGUGCUCGUGUGGCGAACGGGUGAGUAACACGUGAGUAACCUGCCCUUGACUUUGGGAUAACUUCAGGAAACUGGGGCUAUUACCGGAUAGGAGCUCCUGCUGCAUGGUGGGGGUUGGAAAGUUUCGGCGGUUGUGGAUGGACUCGCGGCUUAUCAGCUUGUUUGUGGGGUAGUGGCUUACCAAGGCUUUGACGGGUAGCCGGCCUGAGAGGGUGACCGGCCACAUUGGGACUGAGAGACGGCCCAGACUCCUACGGGAGGCAGCAGUGGGGAAUAUUGCACAAUGGGCGGAAGCCUGAGGCAGCAACGCCGCGUGCGGGAUGACGGCCUUCGGGUUGUAAACCGCUUUCGCCUGUGACGAAGCGUGAGUGACGGUAAUGGGUAAAGAAGCACCGGCUAACUACGUG